CAGUUCAUCGUGGCCCUGUAGUUCGCCUCCUUCACCAAAGCUCUGUCAGGGACCUACAUGAAGAGUGCCAUCACUCAGAGAGACACUUUGACCUGUCCUGCUCUCUCAUCGGACUCAUAGACAGCAGCUUUGAGAUGGGUUUCAACAAUAACAUUGAGUUGCUUGAGAAUUCAUGUAGUAAAAACCAGAUACAGACUACAGUAACCUGCUGUUCCUGGCUGUGGUCAGCCAUUUUGGGGCGAAGCUGCACCGGCCCAGGCUCAUUGCUAUGGGCUGUUUCCUCAUGGCUGUAGGAUCCUUCCUCACAGGCCUGCCACACUUCUUCAUGGGACGGGCUAUCAGGAGAGCUACCCAGUCCCAGAGGGCCAUCGUGGCUUCAUCAGUGAUGCCAGACUUCUGCAGAUGCAGAGAGCUGAGAGAGAGACCAUGGAAGCAAAGCAAAGAAAGAUAAGUGCUAUCCAUGAGAAUUAUGUCCGGACUGCUCUCAUCGGGGUUGGCAGCACCUUCGCGCACCACUUCGUCCCCUCUAUUCAGUGCAUUCCGUGGCCGAAAGCUCCACCGAGGCCUUUGCCACGAAGGCUUGAGCACAUAGCUCUGGCCCCACUGAAGAACGUGGUGGGGGUGGACGGUACCCAAGUUCGACCCGGAUCUCACUCUCUGGAGUCCAUCCAGGUAAAUAAGUCAUUCAGCAGCAGUAACGUGUGGCCUGUUCCCGUCCCUCCCACUGGAGCUCCCUCCAAGAGGGGCAAGAAGAAGAAGGGCAGGCGGGGAGUCAAAGCCCUGAAAGUCCAGUCGGAUCAGGGCUGUGCUGACAACAACGGACCCAUUGACCUGAUGGAGGAGGUGAGGGACAUCGAGCCUCACCUGAAGGAGGAGGCCUGGAAGGUGGUACAUGAGGUGAAGGCCAUGGGCAGGAGAAGUUUGGGCUCGGCCAUGUCCAUGGGGGAAAUAGCCACCAGCUCUCUGGGAAGCCUGAGCUCAGUGGAUAUGAACACCCCUGCGGAGCUCCGUGACUACUUGGAUGUUGGGACCCCGGUCAAGUUGCGUGACAGCCCACCCAGGCCUGCUCCCCCCCCCUACCAAGCCCAGGAGCAAACAGCCUCGGCCUAUAAGGUUCCUUAGCCUGCCAAAGGCUGCCACCGGCUCAGGGAGAAGAAGAUCGAGGGCUUGACCUCUCUCCGUGUGAUGGCUCAGAACCACAUGGACAUACUGAUGCCUAAACUCCAUGAUAUCUGCCUUGCCAUUAUAAAUGAGGUAGCUGUAUUCAUUCACUGCCCUAUUCAUUCAUCUGCACAAAUCUGCUACAUUUGGAGAACAAGUCAAAUUAUUGUGUCAUGUUUCUGAUGUUUGUGGGUUGUACUGCACAACAUUAAUAGCUGGUCCUGUGCAUGUUAUUAUGAUUCAGGUGAAGAACCUGCGCUCUGCAGUGUCUUGUGCUGACAGUGAGGUGGAGGGGACGGCACGCAUGCUGCUGCACAAAGCCAGCGAGGCUUUCACUGACCGUUUCUUGAUUGCCGUCAGUAAACUGGCUGUGGACCCUUCACAGGAAGUCAGGUGGGAAGUUCCUCCUGUAAAGUAGCUUGCUUCAACAUAACAGUUAAGGCCGGGAUUCAACCAUGGCUCGCUAUAGCACUAGAUCGCCAACAAUGCAGCUUUUAAAAGGUAAUUUGGUCUUGAGUCAACAUCUGCAGCAUUUACCACGAAUACAAAUUGAAAUUGACUUUAAAAGCCACAUUGUCGUCUGUCUACAGCAUCUAUGCUAAAGGGUGUCAUGGAUUGAAUUGCAGAUUUUAGGUAUUCCAAAACAACCACAGGUUCUCUUGGAGGGGAAUAGUAAUUGAAAACAAAAAGGAAAAAUUAUAAACACAAGUAAGUGCUACGUGGCAUAGGACAAUCCAAGUCCAGGCACCCAUGUGGGUUUGAAAGUUAAAAAGCCAAAGCUUAGCGGGGAUGUUUGGCCGGGAGGGAUGUUCUUCUCCCAUCGCCAACUAGCGACCUCCUGUGGUGGGCGGGGUGCAAUGCACGGACACGGUCACCAGGUGUAUGGUGUUUCCUCCGACACAUUGGUGCUUCCAGGUUAAGCGGGCAUUGUGUCAAGAAGCAGUGCAGCUUGGCUGGGUUGUGUUUCGGAGGACGCACGGCUCUCGACCUUCGCCUCUCCAGAGUCUUUACGGGAGUUGCAGCGAUGGGCAAAGAUUGUAACUACCUAUUGGAUACCACGAAAUUGGGGUAAAAAUGUAAUUACAUUACAAAUCUAAAUGAGUCCAAAUAUUCCGUACCUGAUUCAGUUUCCUUCCAUCUGUUUGGUGCCAUGAGCGCUACAGCAACACCGCUUAACCAAAUAAAGGUCUCUUCCUGGCGCACACUUGCCUUUAUAAAGGGUAACAACACCCCAAAAUCGACAUGUCUUCCGUUUUUCCCAGACCUCAAAAGUGGUUCCCUGCUAGGGUUUUAAACAUUGUCAUGGACAUAGAACAUCUAAUCGUGUUAUAUUUCUAUUAAAAAGGUGUACUUUUGAGAGCGAAAACCUGCAGAAGCAGAGACAAACGGUCGACGGGGGAAAUGUUAACGAAGAAUAGGGGCAUUUUUUUGGGGGGGGGUAUCAGGCAAAAGGGAUUUUACAAGGGCUGAUUUCAAGGUUUUACUGCUAACCUACAAAGCAUUACAUGGGCUUGCUCCUACCUAUCUCUCUGAUUUGGUCCUGCCGUACAUACCUACACGUACGCUACGGUCACAAGAUGCAGGCCUCCUAAUUGUCCCUAGAAUUUCUAAGCAAACAGCUGGAGGCAGGGCUUUCUCCUAUAGAGCUCCAUUUUUAUGGAACGGUCUGCCUACCCAUGUCAGAGACGCAAACUCGGUCUCAACCUUUAAGUCUUUACUGAAGACUCAUCUCUUCAGUGGGUCAUAUGAUUGAGUGUAGUCUGGCCCAGGAGUGGGAAGGUGAACGGAAAGGCUCUGGAGCAACGAACCGCCCUUGCUGUCUCUGCCUGGCCGGUUCCCCUCUUUCCACUGGGAUUCUCUGCCUCUAACCCUAUUACAGGGGCUGAGUCACUGGCUUGCUGGGGCUCUCUCAUGCCGUCCCUGGAGGGGGUGCGUCACCUGAGUGGGUUGAUUCACUGUUGUGGUCAUCCUGUCUGGGUUGGCGCCCCCCCCCCCCCCUUGGGUUGUGCCGUGGCGGAGAUCUUUGUGGGCUAUACUCAGCCUUGUCUCAGGAUGGUAAGUUGGUGGUUGAAGAUAUCCCUCUAGUGGUGUGGGGGCUGUGCUUUGGCAAAGUGGGUGGGGUUAUAUCCUUCCUGUUUGGCCCUGUCCGGGGGUGUCCUCGGAUGGGGCCACAGUGUCUCCUGACCCCUCCUGUCUCAGCCUCCAGUAUUUAUGCUGCAGUAGUUUAUGUGUCGGGGGGCUGGGGUCAGUUUGUUAUAUCUGGAGUACUUCUCCUGUCCUAUUCGGUGUCCUGUGUGAAUCUAAGUGUGCGUUCUCUAAUUCUCUCCUCUCUUUCUCUCUCUCGGAGGACCUGAGCCCUAGGACCAUGCCCCAGGACUACCUGACAUGAUGACUCCUUGCUGUCCCCAGUCCACCUGGCCAUGCUGCUGUUCCAGUUUCAACUUCCACCUGACUGUGCUGCUGCUCUAGUUUCAACUGUUCUGCCUUAUUAUUAUUCGACCAUGCUGGUCAUUUAUGAACAUUUGAACAUCUUGGCCAUGUUCUGUUAUAAUCUCCACCCGGCACAGCCAGAAGAGGACUGGCCACCCCACAUAGCCUGGUUCCUCUCUAGGUUUCUUCCUAGGUAUUGGCCUUUCUAGGGAGUUUUUCCUAGCCACCGUGCUUCUACACCUGCAUUGCUUGCUGUUUGGGGUUUUAGGCUGGGUUUCUGUACAGCACUUUGAGAUAUCAGCUGAUGUACGAAGGGCUAUAUAAAUAAAUUUGAUUUGAUUUGAUUUACAUGAACAUUAGCUAGCUAAAUAAGGUUAGCAAGAUGCUGCUACACUUGACCGUGGUAUUUGUUCAUGUUUAGCAACUCCCAAUUAGCGCAUUCCUCUAGGACAGUCACUUGUGCCUGAAUUCAACAAAAAAACAACAACUAUUCAGUCAGUGUUAAGAGCAGUUGUUUGAAACCAAUCGGAAAGGCAAGCCAAGCUUGCCAGCCGCUCUUGAUUUCCAUUUGACUGACCAUCAGUUUGGCACAACACUGAACUCUAGCCAACCAAAAGGAUAACAUUGAGUAAAAAGGUGUAGGUAACGCCAACAUUAACCUUUUCACACGCGAGUUCCAAAUAUCUUCAACAGUCGCCUCAGUGGGAGUUGAUUUUAUGCGCGUGAUGUCAGAAUGCACUCACCGUUCCAACAUGUGGACAUUUAACCCACGCUGACCUCAGACCAAGGCACACUACCUGCUAAUUUUCUAUAGGCCGUUUCAACUUCUAAUUUUGCCUCAUUCAUUCACAAAUGUAGCCCAUUUCACUGUUGCAGAUCAUUUCCAUUUGAGAAUUUAAUGAGCCGGACAAACUUUCCUUCAAAAGAAAGCCCAAGCACUUCCACAGAUCAAGUAUACAGUCCUUGCACAUUUAUUGUGUUCCUUACAAAUAACUGUGGACAUGCGUGCAUUCUGAUCAAAGUGCCUUAUUUUCUGUGUAACGUGCUGUCGUUUCUACUGUAGUGUACCGUAAGUAUAAUGUACUUAGCAUUUUAUUCAUGCUUUCUGAUUCUUGCCUAGAUUGUAAUGGACACGUGUGUAAAACACUUUUGAAGGUGGUACUGAAUAUGAGCUACAGCUAACGCCAUACAAUGCAGUCAGGUUAUCACGUACGCGUCUGUCAGACUAAUGGUGAUCUCAACUGGAGUACCCCCAUUGUCUUGAAUGCACUGAAUUCGUUAGUUGAUUUGAACACGGCAUCAGAGUGUAAACUAUGGUACCUCAGGGUUGCCAGAUCAGACCCCCUUUCCAGGGAUAUUUAGCUUAGAAAAACUGUCUGCCCCGCCAUUUAUUGUUGAUAAAUCCCCAUCUUAUUAAUAUUUCCUGCAUCAUCCUCUCCAUAAUACCUUCCCCCAAGGACUUCACCUCCCAAAAUGGAUUGAGCUAUAUCUUGCAACUCUGUUUAGCUUUCGUGCUAAGGUUGUAUUGGCUUUUUGAUUAGUUAACUGUAAACUACUUGUCAUGUGUACGCCGUAACAAGUACACAGAUUUGUCACAUGCUGAAGUGGCCAAACUAAGUUAAGACCUCAGGAAAUGGGCACAGUGAACGGCAUUCUGGGAUUAGGGAGUUCUUGCUUGACAAACAUGGCUGCCAUAUUUUCUAAACUAGAUUUACAUGUUCCAAUGGUACGCUGCAGGGACCAGUCAGUGAUAACAAGCAUGUGAUCGUACGCGCCAGACUCUCCCAUAAGUGUUAUAUUGGGUGGAGAUCUGGUGACAGACCGCACAUGGCUCAAACCAUUGUGACCACUCAUGACAUAUGGAUGGGGGCAUAGCCACGGUAGCCAAAGUAAAUGGCCUGCCAAGCAUGAUAGGUUGCUAAUUACUCAGGAACCACACCUGUGGAAUAACACUUGU
This is a long non-coding RNA of Oncorhynchus kisutch (coho salmon), 5548 nucleotides long. The record is from Ensembl. Lineage: Eukaryota; Metazoa; Chordata; Actinopteri; Salmoniformes; Salmonidae.